CUACGGGCCGCUGCAGUGAGGAAUAUUGCACAAUGGAGGAAACUCUGAUGCAGCAACGCCGCGUGGAGGAUGACACUUUUCGGAGCGUAAACUCCUUUUAUAUAGGAAGGAGAUGAUGGUACUAUAUGAAUAAGCGCCGGCUAACUCCGUGCCAGCAGCCGCGAUAAUACGGAGGGCGCAAGCGUUACUCGGAAUCACUGGGCGUAAAGAGCGUGUAGGCGGAUUAAAAAGUCAGAAGUGAAAUCCUAUAGCUUAACUAUAGAACUGCUUCUGAAACUCUUAAUCUAGAAUAUGGGAGAGGUAGAUGGAAUUUCUGGUGUAGGGGUAAAAUCCGUAGAGAUCAGAAGGAAUACCGAUUGCGAAGGCGAUCUACUAGAACAUUAUUGACGCUGAGACGCGAAAGCGUGGGGAGCAAACAGGAUUAGAUACCCGGGUAGUC
Molecule: ribosomal RNA, 439 nt
Filed under: uncultured bacterium
Lineage: Bacteria
Description: partial 16S ribosomal RNA
Rfam family: Bacterial small subunit ribosomal RNA
Source: RNAcentral